GACGAACGCUGGCGGCGUGCUUAACACAUGCAAGUCGAACGCUGAAGCUUGGUGCUUGCACUGGGUGGAUGAGUGGCGAACGGGUGAGUAAUACGUGAGUAACCUGCCCUUGACUCUGGGAUAAGCCUGGGAAACUGGGUCUAAUACUGGAUAUGACAUGCCACUGCAUGGUGGUGUGUGGAAAGGGUUUUACUGGUUUUGUAUGGGCUCACGGCCUAUCAGCUUGUUGGUGGGGUAAUGGCCUACCAAGGCGACGACGGGUAGCCGGCCUGAGAGGGUGACCGGCCACACUGGGACUGAGACACGGCCCAGACUCCUACGGGAGGCAGCAGUGGGGAAUAUUGCACAAUGGGCGGAAGCCUGAUGCAGCGACGCCGCGUGAGGGAUGACGGCCUUCGGGUUGUAAACCUCUUUCAGCACGGAAGAAGCGAGAGUGACGGUACGUGCAGAAGAAGCGCCGGCUAACUACGUG
This 472-nucleotide ribosomal RNA is filed under the name uncultured bacterium. Its description in RNAcentral is "partial 16S ribosomal RNA". It matches the Rfam family "Bacterial small subunit ribosomal RNA", at positions 28 to 507 of the family's 1533-position model. The record is from RNAcentral.